RNAcentral lists this transfer RNA (74 nucleotides) under Oenococcus oeni. RNAcentral describes it as "tRNA-Pro". It matches the Rfam family "tRNA". Rfam says of the family: Transfer RNA (tRNA) molecules are approximately 80 nucleotides in length. The record is from RNAcentral. Lineage: Bacteria; Bacillati; Bacillota; Bacilli; Lactobacillales; Lactobacillaceae. RNAcentral also lists the same sequence under 42 other names.
CGGGAUGUAGCUCAGCUUGGUAGAGCACCACGUUCGGGACGUGGGGGUCGUGGGUUCGAAUCCCGCCAUCCCGA